Molecule: long non-coding RNA, 338 nt
Organism: Lepus europaeus (European hare)
Lineage: Eukaryota; Metazoa; Chordata; Mammalia; Lagomorpha; Leporidae
Exons: 3
Source: RefSeq, a predicted model, not a curated record
GGAGGAGGCUCCUGGCCCCUGGCUUCGGAUCGGCGCAGCCCCGGCUGUUGUGGCCAUUUGGUUUGGAACAAAGGUCUCCAUCAUCUGCUUAACCAGUCCCCCUCUCUCCAUCUGUGCUUCGGGGUGAAGACCCCCAGCUCUUCUCACAGCCAGCUCUCUGCUAUGGCCUUGGAAAGAAGAAGAUGGCCCAAGUGCUUGAGCCCCUGCACUCUCAUGGGAGACUGGGAAGAAGCACCUGGCUCCUGGCUUCAGAUUGUCCCAGUUCCUGUCAUUGGGGCCAUCUGGGGAGUGAACCAAUGGAAGGAAGACCUUUCUCUCUGUCUCUCCCUCUCACUGUC